GCUACCAUGCAGUCGAGCGGUAGAGAGGUGCUUGCACCUCUUGAGAGCGGCGGACGGCUGUAGUAAAGCCUAGGAAUCUGCCUGGUAGUGGGGGAUAACGCUCGGAAACGGACGCUAAUACCGCAUACGUCCUACGGGAGAAAGCAGGGGACCCUCGGGCCUUGCGCUAUCAGAUGAGCCUAGGUCGGAUUAGCUAGUUGGUGAGGUAAUGGCUCACCAAGGCGACGAUCCGUAACUGGUCUGAGAGGAUGAUCAGUCACACUGGAACUGAGACACGGUCCAGACUCCUACGGGAGGCAGCAGUGGGGAAUAUUGGACAAUGGGCGAAAGCCUGAUCCAGCCAUGCCGCGUGUGUGAAGAAGGUCUUCGGAUUGUAAAGCACUUUAAGUUGGGAGGAAGGGCAGUAAAUUAAUACUUUGCUGUUUUGACGUUACCGACAGAAUAAGCACCGGCUAACUCUGUGCCAGCAGCCGCGGUAAUACAGAGGGUGCAAGCGUUAAUCGGAAUUACUGGGCGUAAAGCGCGCGUAGGUGGUUAGUUAAGUUGGAUGUGAAAUCCCCGGGCUCAACCUGGGAACUGCAUUCAAAACUGACUGACUAGAGUAUGGUAGAGGGUGGUGGAAUUUCCUGUGUAGCGGUGAAAUGCGUAGAUAUAGGAAGGAACACCAGUGGCGAAGGCGACCACCUGGACUGAUACUGACACUGAGGUGCGAAAGC
This 716-nucleotide ribosomal RNA is filed under the name uncultured bacterium. Its description in RNAcentral is "bacterial SSU rRNA". It matches the Rfam family "Bacterial small subunit ribosomal RNA", at positions 48 to 760 of the family's 1533-position model. The record is from RNAcentral.